UUGGCACGAUGAUGAUUGAUUUAUUGUCAUAUGAUUUUUAUGUGAUUAAAAAACCUCCUACUCAUUCUGA
This is a small nucleolar RNA of Trifolium pratense (red clover), 70 nucleotides long. RefSeq annotates it as small nucleolar RNA Z105. The record is from RefSeq and is a predicted model, not a curated record. Lineage: Eukaryota; Viridiplantae; Streptophyta; Magnoliopsida; Fabales; Fabaceae. The transcript has a single exon.